CCUACGGGAGGCUGCAGUAGGGAAUCUUCCACAAUGGACGAAAGUCUGAUGGAGCAACGCCGCGUGAGUGAAGAAGGGUUUCGGCUCGUAAAGCUCUGUUGGUCGUGAAGAAAGAUAGAGGUAGUAACUGGCCUUUCUUUGACUGUACUUACUUAGAAUGUCCCGGCUAACUACGUGCCAGCAGCCGCGGUAAUACGUAGGUGGCAAGCUUUGUCCGGAUUUAUUGGGCGUAAAGCGAGUGCAGGCGGUUCAAUAAGUCUGAUGUGAAAGCCUUCGGCUCAAACGGAGACUUGCAUCAGAAACUGGUGAACUUGAGUGCAGAAGAGGAGAGUGGAACGCCAGGUGUAGCGGUGGAAUGCGUAGAUAUAUGGAAGAACACCAGUGGCGAAGGCGGCUCGCUGGGCUGCAACUGACGCUGAGGCUCGAAAGCAUGGGUAGCGAACAGGAUUAGAUACCCCUGUAGUC
This 465-nucleotide ribosomal RNA is filed under the name uncultured bacterium. RNAcentral describes it as "partial 16S ribosomal RNA". It matches the Rfam family "Bacterial small subunit ribosomal RNA", at positions 338 to 795 of the family's 1533-position model. The record is from RNAcentral.